RNAcentral lists this non-coding RNA (23 nucleotides) under Arabidopsis thaliana (thale cress). The record is from RNAcentral. Lineage: Eukaryota; Viridiplantae; Streptophyta; Magnoliopsida; Brassicales; Brassicaceae.
CGACCAUACAAAAUACUCUGCCA